CCUACGGUGCGCUGCAGUGGGGAAUAUUGGACAAUGGGCGAAAGCCUGAUCCAGCCAUGCCGCGUGUGUGAAGAAGGCCUUCGGGUUGUAAAGCACUUUCAGUGGGGAAGAAAGCCUUGGGGCUAAUACCCUCGAGGAAGGACAUCACCCACAGAAGAAGCACCGGCUAACUCCGUGCCAGCAGCCGCGGUAAUACGGAGGGUGCGAGCGUUAAUCGGAAUUACUGGGCGUAAAGCGCGCGUAGGCGGUCUGAUAAGCCGGUUGUGAAAGCCCCGGGCUCAACCUGGGAACGGCAUCCGGAACUGUCAGGCUAGAGUGCAUGAGAGGAAGGUAGAAUUCCCGGUGUAGCGGUGAAAUGCGUAGAGAUCGGGAGGAAUACCAGUGGCGAAGGCGGCCUUCUGGACUGACACUGACGCUGAGGUGCGAAAGCGUGGGUAGCAAACAGGAUUAGAUACCCUGGUAGUC
Molecule: ribosomal RNA, 465 nt
Filed under: Vreelandella stevensii
Lineage: Bacteria; Pseudomonadati; Pseudomonadota; Gammaproteobacteria; Oceanospirillales; Halomonadaceae
Description: partial 16S ribosomal RNA
Rfam family: Bacterial small subunit ribosomal RNA
Source: RNAcentral